CCGAGAAGUGAGUGGAUCUUGCUGUUUGACCUUGUUCUAUUUGAUUUUGUGAGGUUGCUGCCAUAAUAAUGUUAGAAGCUUUCUUUGCUGCCGUGACAUUUUCAGAGCUUGCCGAACAAGAGGAGAAAUUUCGCGCAUACAUCCAGGAGAAGAGCCACAGAACUCACACCAAGAACAAGAUAAGAGCAGAAUAGCUAAAUACAAGGUGCCUGAAGUGAGGACUGCUACCAGGCCGUCCCUCGCCGACAUCUCUAGUGGCGGGUUCUUUAUCAGGAGGGUGGCACCACCAAGAGCUGUGCUGGUGAAGGGUGCUGUCAAGCCGCUGGUUCGACAGGCCCGGACAACAUCCAAGAACAAGGGGAAUGUUUGAGGACUGCACCAAAGAGGACGAGCCCCUUACCUUGGUACCCAAGGACCCCACUCCAUGACAUCACAUCAAUCGUCAAGGACUUACAAUGGUCUCCUCAUUGGCAUACAAGGAGAAGAAGACAGGACAAAAGAAUGGUAUGUCAAAGCAACCAGUGAGCAAGCACAAUUAAUGGGCCAAAUUUCCGUUCUGUAUUUCUCUUUUACCAUAUUGAUUUCUGCAUUUCUUUUGAUGUGAUAUGCCCUGAGUAAAAGCUAUCUGUUGUUUUUGGUCAAGGACUCAAGGGACAAGAGCUUUAUUUCAUUAAGCGAAUUACUUCAAGUGUCAGCUAACAUUAUAUUGAGACUCUGAA
This is a long non-coding RNA of Panicum virgatum (switchgrass), 719 nucleotides long. RefSeq lists it as uncharacterized. The record is from RefSeq and is a predicted model, not a curated record. The transcript is spliced from 4 exons. NCBI's taxonomy places the organism in Eukaryota, Viridiplantae, Streptophyta, Magnoliopsida, Poales, Poaceae.